Molecule: long non-coding RNA, 295 nt
Organism: Hirundo rustica (Barn swallow)
Lineage: Eukaryota; Metazoa; Chordata; Aves; Passeriformes; Hirundinidae
Exons: 3
Source: RefSeq, a predicted model, not a curated record
GGAGCAGAAGCUGCAGGUGAACUGCACUCUGCUGAGCUAUCCGCAGCUGCUUAAUGGAGUUUGGUUCUGCCAGCUGCCUCUCCUAUGUGCUGGCCCGGGGUGGGAGUUUCCUGCAGUGCUGUCUGAAAAGCAGCAGUCAAUGGAUCCAUUAUUAAGAAAGACUGGAGGAAUAAAGCAGCAAAGAGUGAUAAACCUUCACAGAGUUCAAUUUGCUUACAGGCAAUGCAACAAGCAAAACUGUACUUUUUCAAGCCUAUUUCCAUUUUAUAAUAAUUUUAUUUAUGUGACAGAUAAC